GUUGGUGGCUGGUUUUAGUUGGGUAGGUUGGUUGGGAAAGGCAGUUGGAAAAGCAGUUGGCAGGCAGUUGGAAAUAGAGAGACAGUUAGUGCAGUGGGUUCUUGUGUGAGGGGAGGUAGAAGAGAUAGAGACAGGAUAAAACAAUACUAAGAAGGUAAAGAGUAACUACGUUUGGAAUGCAGUUAAAGUUUGUUUGUGUCUGAAAUAAACUACACUCUUCUUUGUUAAUUUGAGAACAUAACUGAGACUAAGUGAUUUACCAGGGAGGACCUGGUUGGUGGCAGCAGAUUAGUGGUGUACGGGUCAAUAGUCCGUGAGACGACCGGGAGCUCCAUAUGAACGCUACAGCCACUGUAUUAGAGUAUUAAAGCCUAGUGCCUCCUUCCCAAAGCUCAGGAAGCUUCUGCAC
This 409-nucleotide long non-coding RNA is filed under the name Podarcis lilfordi (Lilford's wall lizard). Lineage: Eukaryota; Metazoa; Chordata; Lepidosauria; Squamata; Lacertidae. The record is from RNAcentral.